GAUGAACGCUGACAGAAUGCUUAACACAUGCAAGUCGAUGGGGAAGUGGUGCUUGCCCCAUGGCAACCAUGGCGGACGGGUGAGUAACGCGUAAGGGACUUACCUGCAGGACUGGGAUAACAGGGGGAAACUCCUGACAAGACCGGAUAAUGUCAUGGAGCUGCAUGGCUUUAUGAUGAAGGGAGACGCCUGCGGAGAGCCUUGCGUCCUAUUAGCUAGUUGGUGAGGUAAUGGCUCACCAAGGCGAAGAUAGGUAGCCGGCCUGAGAGGGUGGACGGCCACAAGGGGACUGAGAUACGGCCCUUACUCCUACGGGAGGCAGCAGUGGGGAAUAUUGGACAAUGGGGGCAACCCUGAUCCAGCAAUUCUGUGUGCACGAAGAAGGUUUUCGGAUUGUAAAGUGCUUUCAGCAGGGAAGAAGUAAGUGACGGUACCUGCAGAAGAAGCGACGGCUAAAUACGUG
Molecule: ribosomal RNA, 463 nt
Filed under: uncultured bacterium
Lineage: Bacteria
Description: partial 16S ribosomal RNA
Rfam family: Bacterial small subunit ribosomal RNA
Source: RNAcentral